UCCUUUUCUGUAGACUAGUCUGAAUUUCUCUGAGGAUGACUCCCUGUUCGAAGAAGAGGAGGAAGAUGAGAAACGUCCGCAGCUGAAGAGCCCGCUGGCCGUCACAGCUCCCUCCGCGGCUCCCCCUGUCUGCACGGAGUAUCCAGCAGACUGGAGCCUGAAGACUCGCCUCCUCUUCACCUCCCCACAUCCCCUGAACUGGGCAGAGCAGCCCAAAGCCCAGGAGGAGGCUCUGGGCCUCAGUCAGCACUGCAAAGCUCACUUCAACAGUCUGCCUCACAGCCUACAGGAUCCCAAGUCCUGCUCCGAGCUGCGAUGUGCCUUCCAGCAGAGUCUGGUGUACUGGCAGCACCCCUCCCUUCCCUGGAUACCUCUGUUCCCCAGGAUCAACGCUGAGAGGAGCUUUAACGGGAAGAGCACCCCGUGGGCCCAGGAUAGAUCCCUGCAGCAGAGUCU
Molecule: non-coding RNA, 456 nt
Organism: Plectropomus leopardus (leopard coralgrouper)
Lineage: Eukaryota; Metazoa; Chordata; Actinopteri; Perciformes; Serranidae
Source: RefSeq, a predicted model, not a curated record